This 95-nucleotide small nuclear RNA is filed under the name Saimiri boliviensis boliviensis (Bolivian squirrel monkey). The record is from RNAcentral. Lineage: Eukaryota; Metazoa; Chordata; Mammalia; Primates; Cebidae.
UCGCUUUGGCAGUGCAUGUAUUAAAACUAGAACAAUAUAGAAAAGAUUAGCAUGGCCCCUGUGACAUGCAAAUUCGUGAAGUGUUUCAUCUUUUU